This 462-nucleotide ribosomal RNA is filed under the name uncultured bacterium. RNAcentral's name for it is "partial 16S ribosomal RNA". It matches the Rfam family "Bacterial small subunit ribosomal RNA", at positions 28 to 507 of the family's 1533-position model. The record is from RNAcentral.
GAUAAACGCUGGCGGCGUGCUUAACACAUGCAAGUCGAACGAAGUUUUUCCUUCGGGAGACACUUAGUGGCGGACGGGUGAGUAACGCGUGGGUAACCUGCCCUGUACAGGGGGACAACAGCUGGAAACGGCUGCUAAUACCGCAUAAGCCCUUAGCACUGCAUGGUGCAUAGGGAAAAGGAGCAAUCCGGUACAGGAUGGACCCGCGUCUGAUUAGCCAGUUGGCAGGGUAACGGCCUACCAAAGCGACGAUCAGUAGCCGAUCUGAGAGGAUGUACGGCCACAUUGGGACUGAGACACGGCCCAGACUCCUACGGGAGGCAGCAGUGGGGAAUAGUGCACAAUGGAGGAAACUCUGAUGCAGCGACGCCGCGUGAGUGAAGAAGUAUUUCGGUAUGUAAAGCUCUAUCAGCAGGGAAGAAAAUGACGGUACCUGACUAAGAAGCACCGGCUAAAUACGUG